AUGAUGAUUUUUGUUGAUGAAUUUUGUUUUGCUGGAUGCGAUGUUAAUUUUUGCUGGAACCGGCUUCUUUUUUGCUGCAUCCAUCUACUGGACUUUUGUUUGCUGGAGCACGGUGUUGCAAGCCGACGACAGCGGCAAGCCGGAGACGGUGAUUUUGCUGGAAGCGGCAUAAUGUUUUGCUGGAAUUGGCUAAUUUUUUUUGCUUCAACAACUACUGGACUUCUUAUUGCUGAAUUUUGUUGUGCUGGAUCUAGCGUUAAAUUUUGCUGGAACCGACUUCUAUUUUUGCUUCAACCAUUUACUGAAAAUUUUGUUUGA
This 318-nucleotide ribosomal RNA is filed under the name Triticum aestivum (bread wheat). Its description in RNAcentral is "partial small subunit ribosomal RNA". Lineage: Eukaryota; Viridiplantae; Streptophyta; Magnoliopsida; Poales; Poaceae. The record is from RNAcentral.